RNAcentral lists this ribosomal RNA (400 nucleotides) under phytoplankton environmental sample. RNAcentral describes it as "partial small subunit ribosomal RNA". It matches the Rfam family "Eukaryotic small subunit ribosomal RNA", at positions 587 to 992 of the family's 1831-position model. The record is from RNAcentral.
AACUCUGUAAGCGUAUAUCAAAGUUGUUGCAGUUAAAACGCUCGUAGUCGAAUCUUGGCUGAACUUACGCGGAGUCCGCAAGGAUUCUGCGGUUGAGGAAAGCCUUUGUGGAUUGUGUGCGCGGAGGUGUUUUAUUACACUUCCGUUGUACUGCCACCGUUUACUGUGAAAAAAUUAGAGUGUUCAAAGCAAGCGAUUUGCCCUGAAUACAUUAGCAUGGAAUAAUAGAAUAGGACCUGGUCUUAUUUUGUUGGUUUGUAUAAUUUCAGGUAAUGAUUAACAGGGACGGUUGGGGGCAUUUGUAUUCCGAGGCGAGAGGUGAAAUUCUUAGACCCUCGGAAGACAAACAGCUGCGAAAGCGUUUGCCAAGGACGUUUUCAUUGAUCAAGAACGAAAGUAC